This 851-nucleotide ribosomal RNA is filed under the name uncultured Actinomycetes bacterium. RNAcentral's name for it is "bacterial SSU rRNA". It matches the Rfam family "Bacterial small subunit ribosomal RNA", at positions 38 to 918 of the family's 1533-position model. The record is from RNAcentral. Lineage: Bacteria; Bacillati; Actinomycetota; Actinomycetes.
GGCGGGGAGAGUUUGAUUCUGGCGCAGACCACUUGACGGGAAAGGCCAUGAGUUGACGGGGAAAGGGGGUCCUGUCGCGCGCCUGAUUAAGCGGGAGUGGAAAAUGGCUGGCCCACUUCAAACUAUCUUGAGUCGUAUUAAGGUCAUGUGUAUUUCCUGACGGUGCGAGAUGGGCCCGCGGCCUAUCAGCUUGUUGGUGAGGUAACGGCUCACCAAGGCGACGACGGGUAGCCGACCUGAGAGGGUGACCGGCCACACUGGGACUGAGACACGGCCCAGGCUCCUACGGGAGGCAGCAGUGGGGAAUAUUGCACAAUGGGCGCAAGCCUGAUGCAGCGACGCCGCGUGCGGGAUGACGGCCUUCGGGUUGUAAACCGCUUUUGACAGGGACGAAGCGCAAGUGACUGUGCCUGUAGAAUAAGGACCGGCCAACUACGUGCCAGCAGCCGCGGUAAUACGUAGGGUCCGAGCGUUGUCCGGAAUUACUGGGCGUAAAGAGCUUGUAGGCGGUUCGUCGCGUCGUUUGUGAAAACUUGGGGCUCAACCUUAAGCUUGCAGGCGAUACGGGCGGACUAGAGUACUUCAGGGGAGACUGGAAUUCCUGGUGUAGCGGUGAAAUGCGCAGAUAUCAGGAGGAACACCGGUGGCGAAGGCGGGUCUCUGGGAAGUAACUGACGCUGAGAAGCGAAAGCAUGGGUAGCAAACAGGAUUAGAUACCCUGGUAGUCCAUGCCGUAAACGGUGGGUACUAGGUGUGGGGCUCCUUCCACGGACUCCGUGCCGUAGCUAACGCAUUAAGUACCCCGCCUGGGGAGUACGGCCGCAAGGCUUAAACUCAAUGAAUUGACGGGG